GGAAGUAUGGCUUAGCGAUAGAGCACCUGCCUAGAGAGUACAAGGCUCUGAGUUCAAACCCCAAUACUGCCC
This 72-nucleotide transfer RNA is filed under the name Dipodomys ordii (Ord's kangaroo rat). It matches the Rfam family "tRNA". Rfam says of the family: Transfer RNA (tRNA) molecules are approximately 80 nucleotides in length. The record is from Rfam by way of RNAcentral. Lineage: Eukaryota; Metazoa; Chordata; Mammalia; Rodentia; Heteromyidae.